Molecule: ribosomal RNA, 2201 nt
Filed under: Escherichia coli
Lineage: Bacteria; Pseudomonadati; Pseudomonadota; Gammaproteobacteria; Enterobacterales; Enterobacteriaceae
Description: partial 23S ribosomal RNA
Rfam family: Bacterial large subunit ribosomal RNA
Source: RNAcentral
UAAUGGGUCAGCGACUUAUAUUCUGUAGCAAGGUUAACCGAAUAGGGGAGCCGAAGGGAAACCGAGUCUUAACUGGGCGUUAAGUUGCAGGGUAUAGACCCGAAACCCGGUGAUCUAGCCAUGGGCAGGUUGAAGGUUGGGUAACACUAACUGGAGGACCGAACCGACUAAUGUUGAAAAAUUAGCGGAUGACUUGUGGCUGGGGGUGAAAGGCCAAUCAAACCGGGAGAUAGCUGGUUCUCCCCGAAAGCUAUUUAGGUAGCGCCUCGUGAAUUCAUCUCCGGGGGUAGAGCACUGUUUCGGCAAGGGGGUCAUCCCGACUUACCAACCCGAUGCAAACUGCGAAUACCGGAGAAUGUUAUCACGGGAGACACACGGCGGGUGCUAACGUCCGUCGUGAAGAGGGAAACAACCCAGACCGCCAGCUAAGGUCCCAAAGUCAUGGUUAAGUGGGAAACGAUGUGGGAAGGCCCAGACAGCCAGGAUGUUGGCUUAGAAGCAGCCAUCAUUUAAAGAAAGCGUAAUAGCUCACUGGUCGAGUCGGCCUGCGCGGAAGAUGUAACGGGGCUAAACCAUGCACCGAAGCUGCGGCAGCGACACUAUGUGUUGUUGGGUAGGGGAGCGUUCUGUAAGCCUGUGAAGGUGGCCUGUGAGGGUUGCUGGAGGUAUCAGAAGUGCGAAUGCUGACAUAAGUAACGAUAAAGCGGGUGAAAAGCCCGCUCGCCGGAAGACCAAGGGUUCCUGUCCAACGUUAAUCGGGGCAGGGUGAGUCGACCCCUAAGGCGAGGCCGAAAGGCGUAGUCGAUGGGAAACAGGUUAAUAUUCCUGUACUUGGUGUUACUGCGAAGGGGGGACGGAGAAGGCUAUGUUGGCCGGGCGACGGUUGUCCCGGUUUAAGCGUGUAGGCUGGUUUUCCAGGCAAAUCCGGAAAACCAAGGCUGAGGCGUGAUGACGAGGCACUACGGUGCUGAAGCGACAAAUGCCCUGCUUCCAGGAAAAGCCUCUAAGCAUCAGGUAACAUCAAAUCGUACCCCAAACCGACACAGGUGGUCAGGUAGAGAAUACCAAGGCGCUUGAGAGAACUCGGGUGAAGGAACUAGGCAAAAUGGUGCCGUAACUUCGGGAGAAGGCACGCUGAUAUGUAGGUGAAGCGACUUGCUCGUGGAGCUGAAAUCAGUCGAAGAUACCAGCUGGCUGCAACUGUUUAUUAAAAACACAGCACUGUGCAAACACGAAAGUGGACGUAUACGGUGUGACGCCUGCCCGGUGCCGGAAGGUUAAUUGAUGGGGUUAGCGGUAACGCGAAGCUCUUGAUCGAAGCCCCGGUAAACGGCGGCCGUAACUAUAACGGUCCUAAGGUAGCGAAAUUCCUUGUCGGGUAAGUUCCGACCUGCACGAAUGGCGUAAUGAUGGCCAGGCUGUCUCCACCCGAGACUCAGUGAAAUUGAACUCGCUGUGAAGAUGCAGUGUACCCGCGGCAAGACGGAAAGACCCCGUGAACCUUUACUAUAGCUUGACACUGAACAUUGAGCCUUGAUGUGUAGGAUAGGUGGGAGGCUUUGAAGUGUGGACGCCAGUCUGCAUGGAGCCGACCUUGAAAUACCACCCUUUAAUGUUUGAUGUUCUAACGUUGGCCCGUAAUCCGGGUUGCGGACAGUGUCUGGUGGGUAGUUUGACUGGGGCGGUCUCCUCCUAAAGAGUAACGGAGGAGCACGAAGGUUGGCUAAUCCUGGUCGGACAUCAGGAGGUUAGUGCAAUGGCAUAAGCCAGCUUGACUGCGAGCGUGACGGCGCGAGCAGGUGCGAAAGCAGGUCAUAGUGAUCCGGUGGUUCUGAAUGGAAGGGCCAUCGCUCAACGGAUAAAAGGUACUCCGGGGAUAACAGGCUGAUACCGCCCAAGAGUUCAUAUCGACGGCGGUGUUUGGCACCUCGAUGUCGGCUCAUCACAUCCUGGGGCUGAAGUAGGUCCCAAGGGUAUGGCUGUUCGCCAUUUAAAGUGGUACGCGAGCUGGGUUUAGAACGUCGUGAGACAGUUCGGUCCCUAUCUGCCGUGGGCGCUGGAGAACUGAGGGGGGCUGCUCCUAGUACGAGAGGACCGGAGUGGACGCAUCACUGGUGUUCGGGUUGUCAUGCCAAUGGCACUGCCCGGUAGCUAAAUGCGGAAGAGAUAAGUGCUGAAAGCAUCUAAGCACGAAACUUGCC